AAUAAAUUUUUUAUGGUUUAAAAAUUUUAUUUUAAAUUUAUUUUACAUAUAAAUUUUAGUGUUAAUUAUUAUUUAUUUAAAUAAUAAAUAAUUUUGUUUAGUAGUAAUUAAUUUUAAAAAUUUAAGAAAUUAAGAUUUAGUAAUAUAAAAAUUAUUAACUAAUUUUGUGCCAGCAGUUGCGGUUAUACAAAAAUUGAUUUAAAAUUUUUUAGUAAUUAAUAAAUAUUUUUAUUUAUAAUAUAAAAAUUAAAUUAUUAAGUGAAAUUUUAAUUUAAUAAAAAAUUAUUUAAAAAUUAUGAAUUAAUAAAUUUAAUAAAAAACUAGGAUUAGAUACCCUAUUAUUAAAAUUUAAAUUAUUAUGCUAAAAUAGUAGGUAAUUUUUUAUUGAAACUUAAAUAAUUUGGCGGUAUUUUAGUUUAUUUAGAGGAAUCUGUUUAAUAAUUGAUAAUCCACGAAUAAAUUUACUUAAUUUAAAAUUUUGUAUAUCGUUGUUAAAAAAAUAUUUUUUAAUAAAAAUAAUAUUUAAAAAUUUUAAUAUAAAAUUAAAUCAGAUCAAGAUGCAGAUUAUAAUUAAGAAUAUAAUGGAUUACAAUAAAUUUAUUUAAUUGGAUUUUAAUAUGAAAAAAUUAAAUGAAAUUGGAUUUAAAUGUAAUUUUAUUUAAUUUAAUAAAAUGAUUAAAUAUUAAAAUAUGUACAUAUUGCCCGUCGCUUUCAUUAAUAAAUUGAAAUAAGUCGUAACAAAGUAGAAGUACUGGAAAGUGUUUCUAGAAAGAU
RNAcentral lists this non-coding RNA (774 nucleotides) under Manduca quinquemaculata (tomato hornworm). Lineage: Eukaryota; Metazoa; Arthropoda; Insecta; Lepidoptera; Sphingidae. The record is from RNAcentral.